GACGAACGCUGGCGGCGUGCUUAACACAUGCAAGUCGAACGGAAAGGCCCUGCUUGCAGGGUACUCGAGUGGCGAACGGGUGAGUAACACGUGGGUGAUCUGCCCUGCACUUCGGGAUAAGCCUUGGAAACUGGGUCUAAUACCGCAUAGGAGCCAUUUUUAGUGUGAUGGUUGGAAAGUUUUUUCGGUGUAGGAUGAGCUCGCGGCCUAUCAGCUUGUUGGUGGGGUAAUGGCCUACCAAGGCGGCGACGGGUAGCCGGCCUGAGAGGGUGGACGGCCACAAUGGGACUGAGAUACGGGCCAGAAUCCUACGGGGGGCAGCAGGGGGGAAUAUUGCACAAUGGGGGGAAGCCUGAUGCAGCGAAGCCGCGUGGGGGAUGACGGCCUUCGGGUUGUAAACGCCUUUCGCUAGGGACGAAGCUUUUUGUGACGGUACCUAGAUAAGAAGCACCGGCUAACUACGUG
Molecule: ribosomal RNA, 465 nt
Filed under: uncultured bacterium
Lineage: Bacteria
Description: partial 16S ribosomal RNA
Rfam family: Bacterial small subunit ribosomal RNA
Source: RNAcentral